GACUAUGGCCAUACCACGCUGAACACACCCAAUCUCAUCUAACCUCAGAAGCUAAGCAGGGUCAGGCCUGGUUAGUACUUGGAUAGGAGGAUUUGUCCAGUCCUAUAAGAGCUUGUGUCACAAGAAAGACCGUGGUCA
Molecule: ribosomal RNA, 138 nt
Filed under: Cebus imitator (Panamanian white-faced capuchin)
Lineage: Eukaryota; Metazoa; Chordata; Mammalia; Primates; Cebidae
Source: RNAcentral